AUACACAAAGAAAAAAAAUGGCUGAAGAUAUGAAGAAUGAAAUUCAAGAUCUGUUGACUAAGCCUAUUACUCCAAGUGAAGAACCUGCUAAAGAAUCAUCAGAAAAAGAACAAGGACAAGGGCUAGUAGUUACAAAUGAUGAACAAGAUGAAGCAAAAGAAGUAGAAGAUGAGAAGUUGGUGCACGUAGUUGAAAGAGCAAAACAGCCAACACCUCCUGGCAAACGACCUGGCCCUACUAUUGGUUGAAAUAAUAUAAUUAUAAAUACAACUUUUGAAAAUUCUAACCGUCUCUGUCCUUACAGUUAAGUGGUUGAAUUUUCUUACUUAUACGAUAAGAUGCUUACUUAGUAUUGAAAUCGACUUGGCAGAAAGUACUAUUGUUGUUCAUGUCUUGGUUCCUUUUUAAUUUUCUUUGUGUGUUAUUUUAUUUUCACUUUUAGUUUACUUUAUCAAUAUGAUGUGGAAAAAUGUGUAAUAAUACAACUUGUGUGUUGGCUUAGAUCGAAAGGAAGGGCCCGACUUUGCUUUUCGGUCAGUUUUAAA
Molecule: long non-coding RNA, 545 nt
Organism: Solanum verrucosum
Lineage: Eukaryota; Viridiplantae; Streptophyta; Magnoliopsida; Solanales; Solanaceae
Exons: 3
Source: RefSeq, a predicted model, not a curated record